Acipenser ruthenus (sterlet) is the source of this 3317-nucleotide long non-coding RNA. RefSeq lists it as uncharacterized. The record is from RefSeq and is a predicted model, not a curated record. The transcript is spliced from 3 exons. NCBI's taxonomy places the organism in Eukaryota, Metazoa, Chordata, Actinopteri, Acipenseriformes, Acipenseridae.
UACAAAACCAUUACAUUUUUAUAAAAAAAUAAUUAAUUAAGAUUAUGUUAAUAAAUAGUAUUUAUUUUAGCAAUGACUUAAAUCUCUCCACCCCUCCUCAGAAAGUGUAAUCCUCCGGAUGUUUUGCAUUGCUGUUUUAUCGUCAUGGUCUUGAGUCCUGGUUGCUGCGCGUAAUAUUGUUAAGUGACGGUAUUGACAAACAUAAAGUCUGCAAAUAUAAUGCGGAAAUCAGGAUGUCGCCCCACAGACGCAAUGGGUUGUAAUUAAGGCAGUCUCUGCAGUCACUGAGUCUGGGACGUCCCGUGAAAGCGGUGCCAGGGUCCCAGAUGUCUGUGGAGUUGGCAGUGACCGGCGUGCAGGCCUUCCGCGCCCCAUCCAGGGAAGGGGGGGGGCUGCAGAGGGGAUGUUCUAGGAGGAGUGCUGUUCAGUGGUGCCAGGAGAGAUGGAGCAUCACAGCAUCCAACCAGGCCAGAGGUCUCCACGACGCCCCUUUCAAAGAGCUCCCCGAUCAGCAGAGCUAGCCUCAGAAAGAAGAACAAGUACAGGGUCCGGUCAUCCAGCCUGAGCAAGCCCACCUGGAGACCCAAGACCACGGGCUCCAUCAAGACUAAACCCCCCUGGAGGUAUUAAAGUGACCAGUUAACCAAGGAGAAGCACUGGAGCAGCAAGAAUUAACAUGAAAGAGCUGUGCAUGGUUUGUGAUAGGGAGUGCUUAGUGAACAUACAGGAAGGAAUCUAUCUUGCAGGGCUGUGUUGAACCUGAAGGCUUUUCCCGAAUGAUAAAGGUGAUUUGGACUAGUCGUUCUCCCUCCUAGGGAUAGUAAAGGGCCCUUGUAAAUGGUGCAUGUAUAUGUCCUAUUGCAUGAUUUGGAUGAAGGUUGAGGUGAGAUAUACACUAUGGUUAAUGUGUAUAUGGCACCUUGAGAUGAGUUUUGCACUAAAUGUGUUCCUGUGUGUGUGUGUGUGCGUGUGCCUGUGGGUGUGUUGGAGUGUGUGUCUUUGUAUAAUGAAAAGGGACCACAAACAGAUAUGGACAGAAAAGAUUUGUUUUUAUUUUAGUUUAGUUUUUUUGCUGGAUUUCUUGUAGCUACUGGGAGGGGAGAGGUGUACAAGCACUUAUAUGAAGUGAAGUGUCCAGAACACUAGUUAUUGCUACUGAACCUCAAUGUAGAAGUAAUCUACUAAAACAGUUUUAAGUAUCCUUUACCGAUUGUAAAUAUUAGUGGGUCCUCCCUUAGCGUUGAUUCCUAUUCCUGGCACUGCCUGCGUGUUGGCAUGGAGGCAGUGUGGACACAUCACUGUCUUACUCUGUCUUUGUCAUGGUGUGUAACGGAUUGAGUACAAGCCAUUUGCUACUACUGUCUUCUUGGCCCCCUUGUAAAUGAGAUGCAAAUCUCAAGUUUUGCAGUAUUAAUUACCACAGUAAUUUGAUUUGUUUUUCAUUGUGCAGAUAAUCAAAUCCCCAAUUCUCUCCCUGUUCAUAAAAUCAAUUGAAUUUGAUUAAUAAUGUACUUCUUUCAUACAAGUGAUGUUGGUAUUUGUAUAACUGUUUGUAUAAAUUAAUUAGGAGAUGUGAUACUUUUUAUUGGACUAACUAAACAGUAAUUAAUCAUAAGCUUUCAAGACCUCAAAGGUCUCUUCUUCAGGUAAAAGCUUUCCUACUUUCACCUGAAGAGACUUUUGAGCAGCGCUCCAGAUAAGAUUUUGGGUCUGGGAGUAAUUUACCCUCUAAUUUUAACACUCAGGGAUUAAAGUGGAUUUUCAGGGGUAAAAUGCAACAUUACCUUGAUGUCAUGAGUAAUCUUGAUAAAUACUGUACAAUCAUUAAUGGUAAUGGGGUAGGCAUUAAAAAAGAGCCUUCCAUUUUAACUGCAGUGUUACUUUGAACUACUGUACAGCCAUGCGUGUGUUCUACAAGAUUCUUUAUCGGCUCAGCAAAUUUUUUUCGAGGUAUCACACUGACUCUACCAAUUAAUUGCGUUACUUAUAUUUUAACAUUAAAUUCUUAAACUCAGUGAACAUGUUAACUUCAAUAUCAAGCCAUACAGGUAAAUACAAUAAGGACAUUCAUUAAUAAGUUAUACAAGUGUUACUUUUAUAUUAUAAGCGCCUUUUUUUUAGCGGGGUGUUUACGCUUCAACCUGUGUAGCUUCAGCUUUUUUUUACUUUAUUGUUACUGUGAUUGGCUGCAAAGACAACAGGGCUAGCCAGAGAUUGGAUAAUGUUUGUUGGGUUGUUCUUGGGUACAGUAUCCUAGGAACUGAAGACAUUGUAUUCUGGGAGAUUUAGUUAGUGGAAGUUUUAGGGGAAGCAGACAAGGUGUGCAGCAAAAUUGCUAUGCAUAUUUUUACGCAUUCAAUUCAAAUUGAGUGCAUAUUCCGGCUUUUUUAAUGUGUAAAAAUGGCAGGUACACCGCUUAUCUUGGCCGCUGCCUUUGAAGUCUUGAAAGCUUGUGAUUAUUUAUUGUUUAGUUAGUCUCUUUGUCUAUCAUCUUUUGACUGAUACGGCUACAAUUUAAUCUAUAAUAUAAUGUGUUGAUUUGUAUUUUUUAUUUUUAUGAAAGUAAAUUUAAUAAAUAUUUUUCUUCCUCAAAAAGGUCCUUGUCUUUGAACACAAUGAGUACUGUUAUUCACUGAGUGUAAGAGGUAGUCCUUAUUUAAAGAUUCCUACAUACAGUCAGUCACACUGUCACACUGCAGAUAAAAUAGGAUGUACGAUUGACAGUACAUUUGGAGAUAAUGAUGCAAAUGUUUUACGCAAUACCAAUAAUAUUUCUGAAGCACCACAAGUGCCCCUGUUAAAAAUGCUCGAUCUACUAGAGGUACUAUAUCUAGGCCACAAUUGUGACAAUAUUCACCUUCAGAGACACAGGCUUUGUGUGCAUCUCUGCAAUGCAAACAGCUGAGGUUCUUCGGGUGAACAAUAAGAACACAGUAAAGCAUUUGUAGUUGAAUGUAGAUUUCUUUUUAUAUAAUACAUCCAAUUAAUAUAUUUCUUUCAAUGGACUCGAGAGGAAGAGUGCCUCACGAUGUGUAGAUACAUUAACAGAAUCAGUACGUGCCAGUACUGCAGCAGACCCUUGGUACAGCACGUUUGGGUCACAGUGUAGAGAAAGUACAGCUGCUUUUAACAAGCAGUAGCUUGUUUUAUUCUGGUCCAAUUCAUUCUCCUGAUUUGAAUAAUAAAACAAGAUGAUUACUGAUCCUUGAAAUCGGCUCUUUAUCAAGCAUUAUGGUCAAAUAUACAGUCGGCUCUCAUUUAAUAUGAAUUUCAAGAGACCAGCAAAUAAAUGUCAUAUCAGUAAUUCUUAUUCUCUG